Molecule: ribosomal RNA, 505 nt
Filed under: uncultured bacterium
Lineage: Bacteria
Description: partial 16S ribosomal RNA
Rfam family: Bacterial small subunit ribosomal RNA
Source: RNAcentral
GACGAACGCUGGCGGCGUGCCUAAUACAUGCAAGUAGAACGCACAGUUUAUACCGUAGCUUGCUACACCAUAGACUGUGAGUUGCGAACGGGUGAGUAACGCGUAGGUAACCUGCCUGGUAGCGGGGGAUAACUAUUGGAAACGAUAGCUAAUACCGCAUAAUAUUAAUUAUUGCAUGAUAAUUAAUUGAAAGGUGCAAUUGCACCAAUACCAGAUGGACCUGCGUUGUAUUAGCUAGUAGGUGAGGUAACGGCGCACCUAGGCGACGAUACAUAGCCGACCGGGGAGGGUGGUCGGCCACACUGGGACUGAGACACGGCCCAGACUCCUACGGGAGGCAGCAGUAGGGAAUCUUCGGCAAUAGACGAAAGUCUUACCGAGCAACGCCGCGUGAGUGAAGAAGGUUUUCGGAUCGUAAAGCUCUGUUGUAAGAGAAGAACGGGUGUGAGAGUGGAAAGUUCACACUGUGACGGUAUCUUACCAGAAAGGGACGGCUAACUACGUG